GGAGGAGGGUAAGCGUUGUUCGGAUUUACUGGGCGUAAAGGGCGUGUAGGCGGCCUCGUUAGUCAGACGUGAAAUCCCAAGGGCUCAACCUUGGAAUUGCGCUUGAUACUGCGAGGCUAGAGUGUGGAAGGGGAGAGUGGAAUUCCCGGUGUAAGGGUGAAAUCUGUAGAUAUCGGGAGGAACACCAGUGGCGAAGGCGACUCUCUGGUCUGCUACUGACGCUGAGACGCGAAAGCUGGGGGAGCGAACGGGAUUAGAUACCCCGGUAGUCCCAGCCGUAAACGAUGUGCACUUGGUGUAGGUGGUUUUUCCGCCUGUGCCGGAGCUAACGCAUUAAGUGCACCGCCUGGGGAGUACGGCCGCAGGGCUG
This 370-nucleotide ribosomal RNA is filed under the name uncultured organism. RNAcentral describes it as "partial 16S ribosomal RNA". It matches the Rfam family "Bacterial small subunit ribosomal RNA", at positions 526 to 896 of the family's 1533-position model. The record is from RNAcentral.